RNAcentral lists this ribosomal RNA (421 nucleotides) under uncultured bacterium. RNAcentral's name for it is "partial 16S ribosomal RNA". It matches the Rfam family "Bacterial small subunit ribosomal RNA", at positions 360 to 773 of the family's 1533-position model. The record is from RNAcentral.
AAUUUUGGACAAUGGGGGCAACCCUGAUCCAGCCAUGCCGCGUGUGGGAAGAAGGCCUUCGGGUUGUAAAGCACUUUUGGCAGGGACGAAAAGGCCCGGGCUAAUCCCUGAAGCUGCUGCCGGUACCGUCAGAAUAGGCACGGGCAAACUACGUGCCGGCAGCCGCGGUAAUACGUAGGGUGCAAGCGUUAAUCGGAAUUACUGGGCGUAAAGCGUGCGUAGGCGGUUCGGCAAGAAGGAUGUGAAAUCCCAGGGCUUAACCUUGGAACUGCAUUCUUAACUGCCGGGCUAGAGUAUGUCAGAGGGGGGUAGAAUUCCGCGUGUAGCAGUGAAAUGCGUAGAGAUGCGGAGGAAUACCGAUGGCGAAGGCAGCCCCCUGGGAUAAUACUGACGCUCAUGCACGAAAGCGUGGGGAGCAAAC